AGCAGCCGCGGUAAUUCCAGCUCCAAUAGCGUAUAUUAAAGUUGUUGCAGUUAAAAAGCUCGUAGUUGAAUUUCGGGAUCAAGGAAUCGGUCAUGCCUCGGUAUGUACUGGUUUUAUUGGUUCUCACCUUCUAAAGAACCAUGAUGUCAUUCAUUUGAUGUUAUGGGGAAUUAGGACUGUUACCUUGAAAAAAUUAGAGUGUUUAAAGCAGGCUUACGCUUGAAUACAUUAGCAUGGAUAAUGAAAUAGGACAUCAGAUUCUAUUUUGUUGGUUUCUAGGAUCGAUGUAAUGAUUAAUAGGGAUAGUUGGGGGCAUUAGUAUUCAAUUGUCAGAGGUGAAAUUCUUGGAUUUAUUGAAGACUAACUACUGCGAAAGCAUUUGCCAGGAUGUUUUCAUUAUCAGAACGAAGUUAGGGGAAUCGAAGACGAUCAGAUACCGUCGUAGUCUUAACCAUAGACUAUGCCGACUAGGGAUCGGAUCGAUGUUUAUUUUUAGUGUACGUCUACG
RNAcentral lists this unclassified non-coding RNA (508 nucleotides) under uncultured Glomus. Its description in RNAcentral is "SSU rRNA". It matches the Rfam family "Eukaryotic small subunit ribosomal RNA", at positions 569 to 1077 of the family's 1831-position model. The record is from RNAcentral. Lineage: Eukaryota; Fungi; Glomeromycota; Glomeromycetes; Glomerales; Glomeraceae.